RNAcentral lists this ribosomal RNA (589 nucleotides) under Stutzerimonas degradans. Its description in RNAcentral is "bacterial SSU rRNA". It matches the Rfam family "Bacterial small subunit ribosomal RNA", at positions 46 to 654 of the family's 1533-position model. Lineage: Bacteria; Pseudomonadati; Pseudomonadota; Gammaproteobacteria; Pseudomonadales; Pseudomonadaceae. The record is from RNAcentral.
GCCUAACACAGCAAGUCGAGCGGAUGAGUGGAGCUUGCUCAUGAUUCAGCGGCGGACGGUGAGUAAUGCCUAGGAAUCUGCCUGGUAUGGGGGACAACGUUUCGAAGGAACGCUAAUACCGCAUACGUCCUACGGAGAAAGUGGGGGAUCUUCGACCUCACGCUAUCAGAUGAGCCUAGGUCGAUUAGCUAGUUGGCGAGGUAAGGCUCACCAAGGCGACGAUCCGUAACUGUCUGAGAGGAUGAUCAGUACACUGGAACUGAGACACGGUCCAGACUCUACGGGAGGCANCAGUGGGAAUAUUGGACAAUGGGCGAAAGCCUGAUCAGCCAUGCCGCGUGUGUGAGAAGGUCUUCGGAUUGUAAAGCNCUUUAAUUGGGAGGAAGGGCAGUAAUUAAUACCUUGCUGUUUUGACGUUACCGAAGAAUAAGCNCCGGCUAACUCGUGCCAGCAGCCGCGGUAAUACGAAGGUGCAAGCGUUAAUCGGAAUACUGGGCGUAAAGCGCGCGUAGGUGGUUCUUAAGUUGGAUGUGAAAGCCCGGGCUCAACCUGGGAACUGCAUCCAAACUGGCGAGCUAGAGUAGGCGAG